This 459-nucleotide ribosomal RNA is filed under the name uncultured bacterium. Its description in RNAcentral is "partial 16S ribosomal RNA". It matches the Rfam family "Bacterial small subunit ribosomal RNA", at positions 338 to 795 of the family's 1533-position model. The record is from RNAcentral.
CCUACGGGUGGCAGCAGUGAGGAAUAUUGGUCAAUGGGAGAGAUCCUGAACCAGCCAAGCCGCGUGAGGGAAGACGGCCCUAUGGGUUGUAAACCUCUUCUGUCAGGGAACAAAGGCGGGGACGUGUCCCCGGAUGAGUGUACCUGAAGAAAAAGCAUCGGCUAACUCCGUGCCAGCGGCCGCGGUAAUACGGGGGAUGCGAGCUUUAUCCGGAUUUAUUGGGGUUAACGGGUGCGCAGGCGGUCUGUUAAGUCAGCGGUCAAAGCCCGGGGCCCAACCCCGGCCCGCCGUUGAAACUGGCAGUCUCGAGUUGGAGAGAAGGAUGCAGAAUGCGCGGUGUAGCGGUGAAAUGCAUAGAUAUCGCGCAGAACUCCGAUUGCGAAGGCAGCAUGCCGGCUCCACACUGACGCUGAGGCACGAAAGCGUGGGUAUCGAACAGGAUUAGAUACCCGGGUAGUC